Molecule: long non-coding RNA, 1112 nt
Filed under: Homo sapiens (human)
Lineage: Eukaryota; Metazoa; Chordata; Mammalia; Primates; Hominidae
Description: ZNF473 cis regulating lncRNA, transcript variant 2 (ZNF473CR)
Source: RNAcentral
ACAGGCUGCCGUCAGAUUCUCAAGCCCCUAUUCCUCUCGGUGGCCUAAAUCCCCAACUGCUCGGGGCCACUUUUCAGGCCAAAAUGGGCCCAAAAUGGGGAGGGCAAGUGAUGAAUGUCACUAGACAGUGGGGCCCUCAAGGACCUGGCAAAUGGGGGCUUGGACCUCGGAUCGGCCUCCCACGCGAAGCUUGCUCCCCACCAGCAUCCCCACGUUGGUGGCGACGCUGCCCCGGCCCCACGGAUACUUCCGCGCCUGUCAGACUCCCUGAUGAACUACCCUUCCCAGAGUACCGCGGGAGCUCGGGCUCCUGAGGGCGACGGUCCUCUGAUGGCAGAUGCGGGAGAAACUCUGGCGUCAGGCGGCCCUCGCGUGGAGCACACGAAGUCGUGGCUUAUUCUGGCUUCAGUAUGUGGGGUGGAGAAGGCGAUCCACGCAGCUGCGUCUAUUUCCUGUGGAUCAAUCGCAAAAUACGUUCUGUAAGCCCCGCCCCCACUGCGUGCGGGCGGCUUUUGUCUCCACGGCAACCGUCAACUCUGGAAACGCCUGUCUUUCUCCAUGGCAACUGUCUACGCCGCAGGCUGGAGCUGCCCAUUACCGGAGCCCGUGCUGGGUAAGAUGUUCUUCCAUAUGCUCAAGACCACGGGUCAAGAUGUACUAGGCUGUCAGCAUUGUUGACUGUAAAUAUGAAGAUGCAUGAUGGGCACCUGGUACCUGGAUUGGAGUUCUCACUCUGUUCAUGUAGCAGGCAGGAAACCGAGGCACAGUCUAGUGUUGUGUGAGCAGGAAUGGAAGAAACACGCAACACUGCAGGAAGUCACAGAGGGUGCAGAAAUCAAAGGAAACUUCCUGGAGGAGGAAAAGACUGUGACCAGCUUCACAAAAGGCAGCAAAGGACUAUCAGAGAAAGAGAACUCCGAGUGAGGGGUCUGGCCUAGGCCCGGGAUCGGACCAGGCUCCCUCAGGACCCCAUCCUUUCCUGCCCGGACCGUGAAUUCAUCUCCUUGAAGCCAUAACGUCCGAGCUGCUGGUGCGGGGCAGCCCUGGCCCUAGGCUUCCUACCCCUGGAAGCGAGAGGAUGAGAGGAGGCCGGCCCAGCUCCUUCUUUCAGG